Strongylocentrotus purpuratus (purple sea urchin) is the source of this 349-nucleotide long non-coding RNA. RefSeq lists it as uncharacterized. NCBI's taxonomy places the organism in Eukaryota, Metazoa, Echinodermata, Echinoidea, Camarodonta, Strongylocentrotidae. The transcript has 3 exons. The record is from RefSeq and is a predicted model, not a curated record.
CCAUGUGCUAGUAGCCCAUGUCAGAACGGGGGAACCUGUAACCCUUCUCCGGAACCAAGUCUUCCCUUUACAUGUAACUGCCAAGUUGGGUACACAGGCCAGCUGUGUCAAUCAGAUCUAUGCGCUGAUAACCAGUGUCAGAACGGAGGAUUUUGCAUUCCUUUCCCAGGUUCCAGCCCUCCAUACUUCUGUAACUGUCCAGGAGGGUAUAACGGUCAAUUCUGUCAAACAGCUCUGGAUCUCUGUGCCAAUAACCAGUGUCAGAACGGAGGAUCUUGCAGUCCAUUUCCAGGUUCCAACCCACCAUACUUCUGUAAUUGUCAGCCUGGGAAUACCGGCCAGUUCUGUC